Molecule: ribosomal RNA, 1372 nt
Filed under: uncultured bacterium
Lineage: Bacteria
Description: bacterial SSU rRNA
Rfam family: Bacterial small subunit ribosomal RNA
Source: RNAcentral
GAUGAACGCUGGCGGCGUGCCUAAUACAUGCAAGUCGAGCGAACGGACGAGAAGCUUGCUUCUCUGAUGUUAGCGGCGGACGGGUGAGUAACACGUGGAUAACCUACCUAUAAGACUGGGAUAACUUCGGGAAACCGGAGCUAAUACCGGAUAAUAUUUUGAACCGCAUGGUUCAAAAGUGAAAGACGGUCUUGCUGUCACUUAUAGAUGGAUCCGCGCUGCAUUAGCUAGUUGGUAAGGUAACGGCUUACCAAGGCAACGAUGCAUAGCCGACCUGAGAGGGUGAUCGGCCACACUGGAACUGAGACACGGUCCAGACUCCUACGGGAGGCAGCAGUAGGGAAUCUUCCGCAAUGGGCGAAAGCCUGACGGAGCAACGCCGCGUGAGUGAUGAAGGUCUUCGGAUCGUAAAACUCUGUUAUUAGGGAAGAACAUAUGUGUAAGUAACUGUGCACAUCUUGACGGUACCUAAUCAGAAAGCCACGGCUAACUACGUGCCAGCAGCCGCGGUAAUACGUAGGUGGCAAGCGUUAUCCGGAAUUAUUGGGCGUAAAGCGCGCGUAGGCGGUUUUUUAAGUCUGAUGUGAAAGCCCACGGCUCAACCGUGGAGGGUCAUUGGAAACUGGAAAACUUGAGUGCAGAAGAGGAAAGUGGAAUUCCAUGUGUAGCGGUGAAAUGCGCAGAGAUAUGGAGGAACACCAGUGGCGAAGGCGACUUUCUGGUCUGUAACUGACGCUGAUGUGCGAAAGCGUGGGGAUCAAACAGGAUUAGAUACCCUGGUAGUCCACGCCGUAAACGAUGAGUGCUAAGUGUUAGGGGGUUUCCGCCCCUUAGUGCUGCAGCUAACGCAUUAAGCACUCCGCCUGGGGAGUACGACCGCAAGGUUGAAACUCAAAGGAAUUGACGGGGACCCGCACAAGCGGUGGAGCAUGUGGUUUAAUUCGAAGCAACGCGAAGAACCUUACCAAAUCUUGACAUCCUUUGACAACUCUAGAGAUAGAGCUUUCCCCUUCGGGGGACAGAGCGACAGGUGGUGCAUGGUUGUCGUCAGCUCGUGUCGUGAGAUGUUGGGUUAAGUCCCGCAACGAGCGCAACCCUUAAGCUUAGUUGCCAUCAUUAAGUUGGGCACUCUAAGUUGACUGCCGGUGACAAACCGGAGGAAGGUGGGGAUGACGUCAAAUCAUCAUGCCCCUUAUGAUUUGGGCUACACACGUGCUACAAUGGACAAUACAAAGGGCAGCGAAACCGCGAGGUCAAGCAAAUCCCAUAAAGUCGUUCUCAGUUCGGAUUGUAGUCUGCAACUCGACUACAUGAAGCUGGAAUCGCUAGUAAUCGUAGAUCAGCAUGCUACGGUGAGUACGUUCCCGGGUCU